AUUGAACGCUGGCGGCAUGCCUUACACAUGCAAGUCGAACGGCAGCACGGGAGCAAUCCUGGUGGCGAGUGGCGAACGGGUGAGUAAAGUAUCGGAACGUGCCCAGUCGUGGGGGAUAACGUAGCGAAAGUUACGCUAAUACCGCAUACGAUCUAUGGAUGAAAGCGGGGGAGCGCAAGACCUCGCGCUAUUGGAGCGGCCGAUAUCAGAGUAGGUAGUUGGUGGGGUAAAGGCUCACCAAGCCGACGAGCUGUAGCUGGUCUGAGAGGACGACCAGCCACACUGGGACUGAGACACGGCCCAGACUCCUACGGGAGGCAGCAGUGGGGAAUUUGGGACAAUGGGCGAAAGCCUGAUCCAGCCAUGCCGCGUGCAGGAUGAAGGCCUUCGGGUUGUAAACUGCUUUUGUACGGAACGAAACGGCGAGCUCUAAUACAGUUUGCUAAUGACGGUACCGGAAGAAUAAGCACCGGCUAACUACGUGCCAGCCGCCGCAGUAA
Molecule: ribosomal RNA, 500 nt
Filed under: uncultured bacterium
Lineage: Bacteria
Description: partial 16S ribosomal RNA
Rfam family: Bacterial small subunit ribosomal RNA
Source: RNAcentral